RNAcentral lists this ribosomal RNA (387 nucleotides) under Bacillus subtilis. RNAcentral's name for it is "bacterial SSU rRNA". It matches the Rfam family "Bacterial small subunit ribosomal RNA", at positions 1003 to 1393 of the family's 1533-position model. Lineage: Bacteria; Bacillati; Bacillota; Bacilli; Caryophanales; Bacillaceae. The record is from RNAcentral.
GAUAAGGACUUCCCCUUCGGGGGCAGAGUGACAGGUGGUGCAUGGUUGUCGUCAGUGGGGACGGGAGAUGUUGGGUUAAGUCCCGCAACGAGCGCAACCCUUGAUCUUAGUUGCCAGCAUUCAGUUGGGCACUCUAAGGUGACUGCCGGUGACAAACCGGAGGAAGGUGGGGAUGACGUCAAAUCAUCAUGCCCCUUAUGACCUGGGCUACACACGUGCUACAAUGGACAGAACAAAGGGCAGCGAAACCGCGAGGUUAAGCCAAUCCCACAAAUCUGUUCUCAGUUCGGAUCGCAGUCUGCAACUCGACUGCGUGAAGCUGGAAUCGCUAGUAAUCGCGGAUCAGCAUGCCGCGGUGAAUACGUUCCCGGGUCUUGUACACACCGA